This 526-nucleotide ribosomal RNA is filed under the name uncultured bacterium. Its description in RNAcentral is "bacterial SSU rRNA". It matches the Rfam family "Bacterial small subunit ribosomal RNA", at positions 984 to 1509 of the family's 1533-position model. The record is from RNAcentral.
ACAUCCAGAGAAUUUAGCAGAGAUGCUUUAGUGCCUUCGGGAACUCUGAGACAGGUGCUGCAUGGCUGUCGUCAGCUCGUGUUGUGAAAUGUUGGGUUAAGUCCCGNAACGAGCGCAACCCUUAUCCUUUGUUGCCAGCACGUAAUGGUGGGAACUCAAAGGAGACUGCCGGUGAUAAACCGGAGGAAGGUGGGGAUGACGUCAAGUCAUCAUGGCCCUUACGAGUAGGGCUACACACGUGCUACAAUGGCGCAUACAAAGAGAAGCAACCUCGCGAGAGCAAGCGGACCUCAUAAAGUGCGUCGUAGUCCGGAUUGGAGUCUGCAACUCGACUCCAUGAAGUCGGAAUCGCUAGUAAUCGUAAAUCAGAAUGUUACGGUGAAUACGUUCCCGGGCCUUGUACACACCGCCCGUCACACCAUGGGAGUGGGUUGCAAAAGAAGUAGAUAGCUUAACCUUCGGGAGGGCGUUUACCACUUUGUGAUUCAUGACUGGGGUGAAGUCGUAACAAGGUAGGCGUAGUGCU